CCUACGGGGGGCAGCAGUGAGGAAUAUUGGUCAAUGGGCGUACGCCUGAACCAGCCAAGUCGCGUGAGGGAAGACUGCCCUAUGGGUUGUAAACCUCUUUUGUCAGGGAGCAACGCCGGCUACGUGUAGCCGGACUGAGAGUACCUGAAGAAAAAGCAUCGGCUAACUCCGUGCCAGCAGCCGCGGUAAUACGGAGGAUGCGAGCGUUAUCCGGAUUUAUUGGGUUUAAAGGGUGCGUAGGCGGAAUGCGAAGUCAGCGGUAAAAUCGCGGGGCUCAACCUCGCUCCGCCGUUGAAACUGGCGUUCUUGAGUGGGCGAGAAGUAUGCGGAAUGCGUGGUGUAGCGGUGAAAUGCAUAGAUAUCACGCAGAACUCCGAUUGCGAAGGCAGCAUACCGGCGCCCAACUGACGCUGAAGCACGAAAGCGUGGGGAUCGAACAGGAUUAGAUACCCGAGUAGUC
Molecule: ribosomal RNA, 460 nt
Filed under: uncultured bacterium
Lineage: Bacteria
Description: partial 16S ribosomal RNA
Rfam family: Bacterial small subunit ribosomal RNA
Source: RNAcentral